Molecule: long non-coding RNA, 1098 nt
Organism: Talpa occidentalis (Iberian mole)
Lineage: Eukaryota; Metazoa; Chordata; Mammalia; Eulipotyphla; Talpidae
Exons: 4
Source: RefSeq, a predicted model, not a curated record
GCGAGGCCACGAGAGAAAGCCAGAGAGCCCAGAAAGAGUAAAGCUUUGUGGGGGACUAGCGGGGCUGCCUGCCUCUUGGCCCCCAGACCUCCUGCCUGUCCUGCACCUGGUUACCUGACUACAAAUGGUGUAGAAAGAUUAUUAAAAGCCUGAAAAAACCACCGAGGACUCCAGGACCCUCCUUUUCCCAUCUGUCCGAUCACAGAAAACCUUCUCCAUGCCCUGCUGGCACUACACCCCUCACAUCUGUGUUUCAGCAGCAACAUAGGAAAGACUAUAUCAGCACCUGUUUUCGAAACUGAAAGAAAUCCAGAGGAUUUCCACUUUCACAGAAGAUGUAAAGCGAAAACAGUUUGCAGAGCUGUGUCACAGCAGCAGGUAGAGACCGUGGCACCGCAGCAGCGAGAGUCCAACCAAGAGCCUCCCCGGGAGCUGCAUAAAACAGGGUUCCAGAGACCUCCAAAGAAGGUGAGGAAGCUGCCUCCAUUGGCAGGACUGGAUGACUGGGAAAAAAGCAAAAGACCUGGUAAACCUUGAGACGAGGACACACCAGGUGGAGUCUGAUGGUUUUCUUUUGGCAUGGACUUCACUAUCUUCCAGGAAUAGAGGACUUUUGUUUGCCACACUUGACAAAACCUGGAGACUGUGGUUUUCCUUCUAAACUGGAACCCUGAGAAAUUAUCAUCUGAGCCUGAACCCCAGCAUAUACACAUCUGACCUUCAUCAACAUAAAAAUAAUGGGGGCAACAAGUGAAAGGGGGGAAUUGUUGGGGAGAAAGGAUGCCCUGAACGAACUCUACUACACAGGUUUAUGUGGACUCCUACCCCCCUCUCCAGAGGAAACACCAGGAACUACAAAUCCCAUAAUGCCAUCAUCAUCAUGGAAAGAUGGACUGGAGGGAACUGAGGGUAGAGUUAAGCAGUCAGGCCCAGGUAUAUAACCUGAUAGGUGGAGCUUGGGGGUUCUCUUAGGCAUUUUGCCAGCUCUCCGUGUGCCAUGAGGGAUUCCAACUCAGUGGAGCUAGUAGAAUGCAUUCACCAAUUUGUCUCCCUCUCCUUGAGUUCUUCAUUCCCCCUUCUUUUGUAAAUAAACCAUUU